This 254-nucleotide ribosomal RNA is filed under the name uncultured bacterium. RNAcentral describes it as "partial 16S ribosomal RNA". It matches the Rfam family "Bacterial small subunit ribosomal RNA", at positions 524 to 776 of the family's 1533-position model. The record is from RNAcentral.
UACGGAGGGUCCAAGCGUUAUCCGGAUUCACUGGGUUUAAAGGGUGCGUAGGCGGGUAUAUAAGUCAGUGGUGAAAGCUCCGACGCUUAACUUGGAAACUGCCAUUGAUACUGUAUAUCUUGAAUGUCGUAGAGGUUAGCGGAAUGUUGCAUGUAGCGGUGAAAUGCUUAGAUAUGUUACAGAACACCAAUUGCGAAGGCAGCUAACUAUGCGAUAAUUGACGCUGAGGCACGAAAGCGUGGGGAGCAAACAGG